UACGUAGGGACCAAGCGUUGUUCGGAUUUACUGGGCGUAAAGGGCGCGUAGGCGGCAAAUUAAGUCAUCUGUGAAAUCUCCGAGCUUAACUCGGAACGGUCAGGUGGUACUGAUCUGCUAGAGUGCGGAAGGGGCAAUCGGAAUUCUUGGUGUAGCGGUGAAAUGCGUAGAUAUCAAGAGGAACACCUGAGGUGAAGACGGGUUGCUGGGCCGACACUGACGCUGACAGCGCGAAAGCCAGGGGAGCAAACGGG
RNAcentral lists this ribosomal RNA (254 nucleotides) under uncultured bacterium. RNAcentral describes it as "partial 16S ribosomal RNA". It matches the Rfam family "Bacterial small subunit ribosomal RNA", at positions 524 to 776 of the family's 1533-position model. The record is from RNAcentral.